This 881-nucleotide ribosomal RNA is filed under the name Cobetia sp. JNB2_JN. RNAcentral's name for it is "bacterial SSU rRNA". It matches the Rfam family "Bacterial small subunit ribosomal RNA", at positions 577 to 1457 of the family's 1533-position model. The record is from RNAcentral. Lineage: Bacteria; Pseudomonadati; Pseudomonadota; Gammaproteobacteria; Oceanospirillales; Halomonadaceae.
GGCUAAGUCAGCCAGGUGUGAAAGCCCCGGGCUCAACCUGGGAACGGCAUCUGGAACUGCUUGGCUAGAGUGCAGGAGAGGAAGGUAGAAUUCCCGGUGUAGCGGUGAAAUGCGUAGAGAUCGGGAGGAAUACCAGUGGCGAAGGCGGCCUUCUGGACUGACACUGACACUGAGGUGCGAAAGCGUGGGUAGCAAACAGGAUUAGAUACCCUGGUAGUCCACGCCGUAAACGAUGUCAACUAGCCGUUGGGUCCCUUGAGGACUUAGUGGCGCAGCUAACGCAAUAAGUUGACCGCCUGGGGAGUACGGCCGCAAGGUUAAAACUCAAAUGAAUUGACGGGGGCCCGCACAAGCGGUGGAGCAUGUGGUUUAAUUCGAUGCAACGCGAAGAACCUUACCUACCCUUGACAUCCAGAGGACUUUCCAGAGAUGGAUUGGUGCCUUCGGGAACUCUGAGACAGGUGCUGCAUGGCUGUCGUCAGCUCGUGUUGUGAAAUGUUGGGUUAAGUCCCGUAACGAGCGCAACCCCUAUCCUUAUUUGCCAGCGAGUAAUGUCGGGAACUCUAAGGAGACUGCCGGUGACAAACCGGAGGAAGGUGGGGACGACGUCAAGUCAUCAUGGCCCUUACGGGUAGGGCUACACACGUGCUACAAUGGCAAGUACAAAGGGUUGCAAUACGGCGACGUGGAGCCAAUCCCAUAAAGCUUGCCUCAGUCCGGAUUGGAGUCUGCAACUCGACUCCAUGAAGUCGGAAUCGCUAGUAAUCGUGGAUCAGAAUGCCACGGUGAAUACGUUCCCGGGCCUUGUACACACCGCCCGUCACACCAUGGGAGUGGACUGCACCAGAAGUGGUUAGCCUAACCUUCGGGAGGGCGAUCAC